CCUACGGGUGGCAGCAGUGAGGAAUAUUGGUCAAUGGGCGAGAGCCUGAACCAGCCAAGUCGCGUGAGGGAGUACUGCCCUAUGGGUUGUAAACCUCUUUUGUCGAGGAGCAAAAGCCGGACGUGUCCGGCUGUGAGAGUACCCGAAGGAAAAGCAUCGGCUAACUCCGUGCCAGCAGCCGCGGUAAUACGGGGGAUGCGAGCGUUAUCCGGAUUUAUUGGGUUUAAAGGGUGCGCAGGCGGAUUUUUAAGUCAGCGGUAAAAUCGUUGGGUCCAACCCCAUCCAGCCGUUGAAACUGGGGAUCUAGAGUGUGCGAGAGGUAUGCGGAAUGCGUGGUGUAGCGGUGAAAUGCAUAGAUAUCACGCAGAACCCCGAUUGCGAAGGCAGCAUACCGGUGCACAACUGACGCUCAGGCACGAAAGCGUGGGUAUCGAACAGGAUUAGAUACCCUAGUAGUC
Molecule: ribosomal RNA, 458 nt
Filed under: uncultured bacterium
Lineage: Bacteria
Description: partial 16S ribosomal RNA
Rfam family: Bacterial small subunit ribosomal RNA
Source: RNAcentral